UAGGGAAUAUUGCUUAAUGGGCGAAAGCCUGAAGCAGCAACGCCGCGUGUGUGAAGAAGGCCUUCGGGUUGUAAAACACUUUUUGAGGGAAUGAGGAAGGACAGUACCCUCAGAAUAAGCCUCGGCUAACUACGUGCCAGCAGCCGCGGUAAAACGUAGGAGGCGAGCGUUAUCCGGAUUUACUGGGCGUAAAGCGCGUGCAGGCGGCACGGCAAGUUGGAUGUGAAAGCUCCCGGCUUAACUGGGAGAGGUCGUUCAAAACUGCCGAGCUAGAGUGCGGGAGAGGGAGGUGGAAUUCCGGGUGUAGUGGUGAAAUGCGUAGAUAUCCAGAGGAACACCAGUGGCGAAAGUGGCCUCCUGGUCCGCAACUGACGCUCAGACGCGAAAGCUAGGGUAGCAAACGG
Molecule: ribosomal RNA, 404 nt
Filed under: uncultured bacterium
Lineage: Bacteria
Description: bacterial SSU rRNA
Rfam family: Bacterial small subunit ribosomal RNA
Source: RNAcentral